Molecule: ribosomal RNA, 499 nt
Filed under: uncultured bacterium
Lineage: Bacteria
Description: partial 16S ribosomal RNA
Rfam family: Bacterial small subunit ribosomal RNA
Source: RNAcentral
AUUGAACGCUGGCGGAAUGCUUUACACAUGCAAGUCGAACGGCAGCACGGACUUCGGUCUGGUGGCGAGUGGCGAACGGGUGAGUAAUGUAUCGGAACGUGCCCAGUCGUGGGGGAUAACGUAGUGAAAAUUACGCUAAUACCGCAUACGAUCUAUGGAUGAAAGCGGGGAUCGCAAGACCUCGCGCGAUUGGAGCGGCCGAUAUCAGAUUAGGUAGUUGGUGGGGUAAAGGCCCACCAAGCCAACGAUCUGUAGCUGGUCUGAGAGGACGACCAGCCACACUGGAACUGAGACACGGUCCAGACUCCUACGGGAGGCAGCAGUGGGGAAUUUUGGACAAUGGGCGAAAGCCUGAUCCAGCCAUUCCGCGUGCAGGAUGAAGGCCCUCGGGUUGUAAACUGCUUUUGUACAGAACGAAAAGGUUUCUACUAAUACUAGGAGCUCAUGACGGUACUGUAAGAAUAAGCACCGGCUAACUACGCGCCAGCAGCCGCCGUAA